RNAcentral lists this ribosomal RNA (253 nucleotides) under uncultured bacterium. RNAcentral's name for it is "partial 16S ribosomal RNA". It matches the Rfam family "Bacterial small subunit ribosomal RNA", at positions 524 to 776 of the family's 1533-position model. The record is from RNAcentral.
UACAGAGGUCCCAAGCGUUGUUCGGAUUCACUGGGCGUAAAGGGUGCGUAGGUGGUGAAGUAAGUCGGAUGUGAAAUCUCGGAGCUCAACUCCGAAACUGCAUUGGAAACUACUUUGCUCGAGGGUUGGAGGGGGGACUGGAAUUCUCGGUGUAGCAGUGAAAUGCGUAGAUAUCAGGAGGAACACCUGUGGCGAAAGCGGCGCACUGGACCAACACUGACGCUGAGGAGCGAAAGCCAGGGGAGCAAACGGG